RNAcentral lists this transfer RNA (72 nucleotides) under Trichonephila clavata. It matches the Rfam family "tRNA". From Rfam's summary of the family: Transfer RNA (tRNA) molecules are approximately 80 nucleotides in length. Their secondary structure includes four short double-helical elements and three loops (D, anti-codon, and T loops). Lineage: Eukaryota; Metazoa; Arthropoda; Arachnida; Araneae; Nephilidae. The record is from Rfam by way of RNAcentral.
GGUUCGGUGGUCUAGGGGUACGAUUCUCGCUUAGGGUGCGAGAGGUCCCGGGUUCAAAUCCCUGCCGAACCC